GAUGAACGCUAGCGGCAGGCCUAAUACAUGCAAGUCGAGGGGUAUGGGUUGCUUGCAACCCAGAGACCGGCGCACGGGUGCGUAACGCGUAUGCAAUCUACCUUAAUCAGGGGGAUAGCCCGGAGAAAUCCGGAUUAACACCGCAUAACAUUGAGUUGUGGCAUCACAGUUCAAUCAAAUAUUUAUAGGAUUAAGAUGAGCAUGCGUGACAUUAGUUAGUUGGUGAGGUAACGGCUCACCAAGACCACGAUGUCUAGGGGAUCUGAGAGGAUGACCCCCCACACUGGUACUGAGACACGGACCAGACUCCUACGGGAGGCAGCAGUAAGGAAUAUUGGUCAAUGGGCGCAAGCCUGAACCAGCCAUGCCGCGUGCAGGAAGACGGCCCUAUGGGUUGUAAACUGCUUUUGUACCGGAAUAAACCUUCUCUUGCGAGAGAAGCUGAACGUACGGUAAGAAUAAGGAUCGGCUAACUCC
Molecule: ribosomal RNA, 477 nt
Filed under: uncultured Bacteroidota bacterium
Lineage: Bacteria; Pseudomonadati; Bacteroidota
Description: bacterial SSU rRNA
Rfam family: Bacterial small subunit ribosomal RNA
Source: RNAcentral